AGCAGCCGCGGUAAUUCCAGCUCCAAUAGCGUAUAUUAAAGUUGUUGCAGUUAAAAAGCUCGUAGUUGAAUUUCGGGGUUCUACCAUUGGUCGGGCAAUAGUCUGUACUGGUGUGUGGAAUUUCUACCUUCUGGGGAACCAUCAUGUUAUUAAUUUAGCGUGGUGGGAAACCAGGACCUUUACCUUGAAAAAAUUAGAGUGUUCAAAGCAGGCUUA
RNAcentral lists this ribosomal RNA (216 nucleotides) under uncultured Gigaspora. RNAcentral's name for it is "partial small subunit ribosomal RNA". It matches the Rfam family "Eukaryotic small subunit ribosomal RNA", at positions 569 to 788 of the family's 1831-position model. Lineage: Eukaryota; Fungi; Glomeromycota; Glomeromycetes; Diversisporales; Gigasporaceae. The record is from RNAcentral.